Long non-coding RNA from Spinacia oleracea (spinach), 960 nucleotides. RefSeq lists it as uncharacterized. The record is from RefSeq and is a predicted model, not a curated record. Lineage: Eukaryota; Viridiplantae; Streptophyta; Magnoliopsida; Caryophyllales; Amaranthaceae. The transcript is spliced from 5 exons.
ACUCAAUUAAUUCAUACCAAACAUUUCUAUCUCAAACCUCAAGACCAAUGGAUGAUCCUCACCUACGCAGUUGCAGCAGAGGCCGCCAUUUUUCUUCUGAUCUCACUUCCUUCACUAAAGGUUCUCAAAACUCGUCUGGUUUCGUUAAUAUCUCUUAUCCUUCAGUCGUUAAUGUUCAUCGUCCCUUUCGCCGCUUUUCAGCUUCUCGAUAUUUACUAGAAGUAUGAGCACCGAUUGACGUGUGCUUCUGAGAUCGGUACUUCCACCGAGAGAGAUCGCUAUGAGAAAUCGAAAACUGAAGACGCUCUGGAAUUGGAUUCUCCACUCUGAUCAGGAAAAAAUGGACCGUCAUACUGCUGUUUGUUAUGCAAUUCUCACUCUGGCAAUGGCUACUUCUUCUGCAAUUCAGCUUUAAUUCUUCUCUAAAACCCUUUAGUUCUUCUCGAAACCCCCGAAAUUGCCGAAAACUCGUUUUGUUAAUUUUUGAACUUAAACCCUUUCUUUGAAUUUUAUUUAACUACAGAUUGGCGCUCGAGAUGAAUUCAGGAAGACCCAAAUAAUCACAACGAAUUCUCCGUUCUCUAUUGCAUUUGAAACCCUCCAGAAGCAGAUUGACUGCUUUCAUGUAGAUAAUCCGGCCGUAGUCUGUGGUGCUUUUUGUGCUAUAUUCGGUGCUAUUGCCCUUGAUUCUUGGAAGUCUGAUGCUGCUGCAAAAGUGUUCUUGAAUGUUCAUGCUCGCACUGGUGAAUUAGCUGCUGAUUUUUAGGUACUUAUCAUUUGAAAAGUCUCGGAUUGGGUUCCUUUGUCAGCAAGUAUUUAUUAUUGGCCUGAGCGCUUGAUCGAGGCUGUUUAGUUGUUAUAGAACAAUUUUUAUAUUAAAAUGUAUGCGUACGUUGAAAUUGGAACAUAUAUUUAAAUGUAGUACAUGCACUUUGGUUUUGGGAUAUAUAUAUAUAUAUA